CUACGGGCGGCUCCAGUGGGAAUCUUAGACAAUGGGGGAAACCCUGAUCUAGCCAUGCCGCGUGAGCGACGACGGCCCUAGGGUUGUAAAGCUCUUUCAGCAGGGAAGAUAAUGACGGUACCUGCAGAAGAAGUCCCGGCUAACUCCGUGCCAGCAGCCGCGGUAAUACGGAGGGGACUAGCGUUGUUCGGAAUUACUGGGCGUAAAGCGCGCGUAGGCGGAUUGUGAAGUCGGGGGUGAAAUCCCGGGGCUCAACCCCGGAACUGCCCUCGAUACUGGCAGUCUUGAGUUCGAGAGAGGUGAGUGGAAUUCCGAGUGUAGAGGUGAAAUUCGUAGAUAUUCGGAGGAACACCAGUGGCGAAGGCGGCUCACUGGCUCGAUACUGACGCUGAGGUGCGAAAGCGUGGGGAGCAAACAGGAUUAGAUACCCCUGUAGUC
This 438-nucleotide ribosomal RNA is filed under the name uncultured bacterium. RNAcentral's name for it is "partial 16S ribosomal RNA". It matches the Rfam family "Bacterial small subunit ribosomal RNA", at positions 339 to 795 of the family's 1533-position model. The record is from RNAcentral.